This 56-nucleotide transfer RNA is filed under the name Ictidomys tridecemlineatus (thirteen-lined ground squirrel). RNAcentral's name for it is "Spermophilus tridecemlineatus (thirteen-lined ground squirrel) tRNA". It matches the Rfam family "tRNA", at positions 8 to 63 of the family's 71-position model. Rfam says of the family: Transfer RNA (tRNA) molecules are approximately 80 nucleotides in length. Their secondary structure includes four short double-helical elements and three loops (D, anti-codon, and T loops). Further hydrogen bonds mediate the characteristic L-shaped molecular structure. tRNAs have two regions of fundamental functional importance: the anti-codon, which is responsible for specific mRNA codon recognition, and the 3' end, to which the tRNAs corresponding amino acid is attached (by aminoacyl-tRNA synthetases). tRNAs cope with the degeneracy of the genetic code in two manners: having more than one tRNA (with a specific anti-codon) for a particular amino acid; and 'wobble' base-pairing, i.e. permitting non-standard base-pairing at the 3rd anti-codon position. The record is from Rfam by way of RNAcentral. Lineage: Eukaryota; Metazoa; Chordata; Mammalia; Rodentia; Sciuridae.
UAGCUCAGUGGUAGAGUACUUGCCUAGCAUGCAUGAGGCCCUGGGUUCUAUCCCAG